Molecule: long non-coding RNA, 555 nt
Filed under: Homo sapiens (human)
Lineage: Eukaryota; Metazoa; Chordata; Mammalia; Primates; Hominidae
Description: PSMA3 antisense RNA 1
Source: RNAcentral
ACAAAAUGUUCAGUAUAAGAAAUUACUUUUAAUAAUUACGUCAAAACAUGCAGUAGGUGGACUUUUGAGCUAACCCUGGAGAAGGAGCUGGAUUUCACCAGUUAGCCUCCUAUGGAUCUGCUACCAUCAUCACCCUCCCACCCCACCUCCACUGCCUUUUUUCCCAAGACUUUUAAAAAAAUGUUUUAUUGCCCAGGCACAGCACUUUGGGAGGCUGAGGCGGGCGUGAGAUUGGGAGUUUGAGACCAGCCUGACCAACAUGGAGAAACCGCAUCUCUACUAAAAAUACAAAAUUAGCCUGGCGUGGUGGCGCAUGCCUGUAAUCCCAGCUACUCUGGAGGCUGAGGCAGGAGAACCGCUUGAAUCCGGGAGGCGAAGGUCACGAGUGGUAUUCAGUUAAGAGAACAAUUAUUUCGUAUAAGCCACAUCAGAGACGACUGAAGAUGAAAAAACUACCAUCCCCGUAUAUAACUAAUUUGUGCUGUGCACCAACAAGAACCUGCUUUAAAUUUCCAUGGCAAUUUACAACCCCCAUACUGUACCAGGCAAGGUUAG